RNAcentral lists this long non-coding RNA (2286 nucleotides) under Homo sapiens (human). RNAcentral's name for it is "HSALNT0284062". Lineage: Eukaryota; Metazoa; Chordata; Mammalia; Primates; Hominidae. The record is from RNAcentral.
AUUUUGUUCCUUUGAAUAUGCUAAUUCUCCUGUAUACUUGGUUAUUGUUAAAUGCCUUAAUUUCCUAAAAGUCUUAUGCUUGCUUCUUCUUGGGGUGAUUUAUGUUCUAUGCUUGAUAUCUGACCUAUUUCAAGCUAUGCAGCUAUUCUCAUCUGAAGUCAUCAGUUGGGAUGGAAACCAGUCUCUCAGCAGUACUUAAACAGGUCAGAAAGUUGCCAGCAGUUCCAAUCUAUUAUUUUUAUCUCAAAGGAAAAAUCAGCAGUAGAGUGGCUUCCCUCCUUCGACUCAGUUUCAGGGAAGGGGUGAGAACACCCUGUGAAGAGGAAGGCAGAGAUUGGAAUGAUGCAGAAGAAGCCAACGAAUCUAGGAGAGAGGCAUGAAUUUCCCCUUCAUAGUCCUUGUAAGGAGCCAACCCUGCUGCACCUUUAUCUCAAAUGUCCAGCUUCCAGAACUGCAAGACAGUAAAUUUCUGCUGUUUAAGACAAAAAAAAAAAAAGUUAAGCUUUAUAUGCACAAAGCAAGACAUUACUUAUAUUAAAUGUUGUAUCUGUGAUCUUUACAACAUUUGUCAAAUAGUCUAUUAGCCAAUCAGUUGGUAGGCAGAAGUAUCUAAAUCACAUAAAAUAAUUGUGCCUAAAUAAUUCUGGUAACUUAUGUAUAAUCCGUUGAACAUCUUGACAAUCACUAAUUUAACUAAUGCAAGUUUGUCAAAUAGGGGAACUGGGGAUCCUGAUACUAAUAUAAUUUUAGAAGAUGAACAACAGUAAAGCAUUUAUGGACUGAGAGCUUAAUGUGUUUAUUUCUUUUAAAAUUUUACAAACUGCUGGGUGUGUUGGCUUAUGCCUCUAAUCUCAGCACUUUGGGAGACUGAGGCAGGUGAAUUGCUUGAGCCCAGGAGUUCACGACCAGCUUGGGCAACGUAGUGAGAACUAAUUUCUACUAAAAAUUAAACAAAAAAAUAGUCAAGUGUGGUGGUACACACCUGAAAUCCCAGUUAUUCUGGAGACUGUGGCAGUAAGAUCAUUUGAGCCCAAGAUACUGAGACUACUGUGAGCCAUGAUUGUGCCACUGCACUCCAGCUCAGGCAACAGACUGAGACCCUGUCUCAAAAAUAAAUAAAUACAAAUAAAAUAAAAUUUUACAAACUUUCUGAUUUAGCAGUCACUAAAAACCACAUGAAAAAUCUAUUAUAUAUACACCAUCUUUUAAAAUAAAUACAUUGUAAUUUUGAAAAAUUGUGUUAUUUCCCUGAAAUCAACGUUAGCAAACAAUGGGGCUAAUAUAAAUCCAGAUAUGUUCAACUUCAAAGCCUAUACUACAAUUACUCUUGUAAAAAUAGUUUUCCAGUUAUGCCUCAACUUGUUUUAACUAGUGGAAAAAAAAAGCUUUCCAGCCCAUUAUGAGAAAGAAAAUUUAACUUCUCUAUUACAUAACUUGAUUACAUAAAUUACUAUAACCUAAUAAGUGCAGUUAACUUGACAUCCUCACUUAACAUAUGGAAGAGCACAUUUAUGACACAUUUAUAGACAUCAGUAUGGCAUUGUAUAUCAGAAAUUAAAAUGUGGAUAAGAUUUUGUCCCCCAAAUUUUACUACAAUAAAUUUGUUUUAAGGAAAUAUUGAAGUAGCAAAGAUGUAUGUUUAAGAAUAUUAAUUAUUACAGUGCUAAAAAAUAAAAUAUAGAACAAAAACUGAAUACAAAAUGUGACUAGAAUGUCAAAUAGAUGUCUACAUUCCCAUAUUUAUUGAAACAUUUUUCAUUAUAGCCAAGAUUUGCAAGCAACCUAAGUGCCUCUCAACAAAUAAAGAGAUUGUUUAAAUGUUUUGUGUGUGUGUGUGUGUAUAAUGGAAUACUGUUCAAUCUUUAGAAAAAAUAAAAUUCUGCAAUUUGCAACAACAUGAAUAAAGCUAGAGGACAUUUAUACUGAAUGAAAUAAGUCAUGUACAGAUAAACAAAUAUUACAUGCUCUCACUUAUAUGUGCAAGCAAAAAUUUGAGCUUACACAAGUAAGGGGUAAAAUGGUUACUACCAAAAACUAGGGCAGGAGUGCAUGGAGAAAGGAAAAUGUUGGUUAAAAGGUACAAAAUUUCAAUUAGAUAAGAGAAAAAAGUUAUGGUGAUCUAAUGCAUACCAAGUAAUUACAAUUAAUAAUAAUGAAUUUUCUAUUUAUAAUUGCAAAAAGGGGGAUUUUAAAUGUUCUUAACAAAAAUAAAUGUGAGAAUUGACAGAUAUAUUAAUUAACCUAAUUUGUUCAAUCCACAAUGUAUACCUGUAUCUAUGCAUCACA